UAUAUUUUAAUAUAUGAUGUAUAAAGAAUUUUGAAUUCUUAAGAGAUAGUUUAAUUCUAUCAAAUAUAA
This 69-nucleotide transfer RNA is filed under the name Anobiinae sp. BMNH 1274383. Its description in RNAcentral is "Anobiidae sp. BMNH 1274383 tRNA-Gln". The record is from RNAcentral. Lineage: Eukaryota; Metazoa; Arthropoda; Insecta; Coleoptera; Ptinidae.